RNAcentral lists this ribosomal RNA (253 nucleotides) under uncultured bacterium. RNAcentral's name for it is "partial 16S ribosomal RNA". It matches the Rfam family "Bacterial small subunit ribosomal RNA", at positions 524 to 776 of the family's 1533-position model. The record is from RNAcentral.
AACGUAGGACGCAAGCGUUAUCCGGAGUUACUGGGCGUAAAGCGCGGGCAGGCGGCUCGAAACGUCUGAUGUGAAAUCUCCUCGCUCAACGGGGAGAGGCCAUUGGAAGCGGUCGGGCUGGAGGGCAGUAGAGGCAGGCGGAAUUCCGGGUGGAGUGGUGAAAUGCGUAGAGAUCCGGAGGAACACCAGAGGCGAAGGCGGCCUGCUGGGCUGCACCUGACGCUGAACCGCGAAAGCCAGGGGAGCGAACGGG